GAUAAACGCUGGCGGCGUGCAUGAGACAUGCAAGUCGAACGGACGAUCAGGGCUUGCUCUGAUCGUUAGUGGCGGACGGCUGAGUAACGCGUAGGUGACCUGCCCCGAAGUGGGGAAUAACUGCCCGAAAGGGUGGCUAAUACCGCAUGUGGUGGUGCCUUCAUGGGCACCAGUAAAGCCGCAAGGCGCUUCGGGAGGGGCCUGCGUCCGAUUAGCUCGUUGGGGGGUAACGGCUCACCAAGGCGACGAUCGGUAGGUGGUCUGAGAGGACGAUCACCCAGACUGGGACUGAGACACGGCCCAGACUCCUACGGGAGGCGGCAGUCGGGAAUUUUGCGCAAUGGACGAAAGUCUGACGCAGCAACGCCGCGUGAGGGAUGACGGCCU
This 387-nucleotide ribosomal RNA is filed under the name uncultured bacterium. Its description in RNAcentral is "bacterial SSU rRNA". It matches the Rfam family "Bacterial small subunit ribosomal RNA", at positions 28 to 417 of the family's 1533-position model. The record is from RNAcentral.